UAUUGCUGCCCUGUUGGAGCAAUUUCGCUGCACCCGCAAUAACAUCUGCUGAAUAUGUGUAAGUGACAAAUAAAAUUAGAUUUGAUGCACAAGUUACCCAAAUUAGAGGGUGUAGGGGCUAACUAGACCGAGACAGCAAGGCUGCAGGCUCCAGAGCGAAGUGCUAUCCCAACACGCACUGCAAUAUGUUUUUUUCAUACAAAAUAACACAAAAAUGACAAAUACCUCCCAAAUAAUGUUUAUCUGUUACUGAGGUUUAGAUCUUGUAAAAUGACAGCAGGAAAUUGUUCAUUUGAAUCUACAUUUGUGUUUUAUUAUGAAACCGAUGAGGGCUGGUUUGGUAUUCACCGUAGACAUGUAAUCCUAUACGCUUUGUUUACACGGGCAGCCCUAUUCUGAUCUUUUGCCCAAUUUUUGACAAAUGGGUUGAUCUGAUUGUUCAAGAGUUGAUCUGAUUGGUCAUAACACCAAUUAUUGGAUGAAGAUCAGGGCAACGUUCAGAUGCCAAACAUUCUUGAACAUUGCAGAUAGAAAUGCCAUGAAUAGAGCUGAUGUGAUUCCUUAUUCUAAAUAAGUUUGAUCUACAUAGAAAUAGGCUAUCUGAACGUUCCAAAUUGUUCCAAUUCUACAGAACACCCCACGAAUUGGGCUGCCUGUGUAAACGCAGCCAUAAUAGUUCAGAAAUCCAUAUCAGCAAUAUCUUGGCUUUGGAGAUUGUCUUGAUAGAUGUUAAUGUAUUCUGUGAUCUCUUCUCCCCUCCCAGCUGACUACACAGGAGACUACACCACAGGCACCAUGAUGACAUUUACACCGUGUUUGCUGUCAUGUUCAACGGCUGCGCAGGCAUCAUAGUUCUAGUUCCAACGUGUCAGAUGAGACUAAGGGCUGACAUCGGCAGAAGUUCAGCGUACAUGAUGGGACCUGAAGAGCCCAAGCUACUCUAUCCUCAAGGGAACCCUGGCAGCAGUCAUCUUAAGCUUCAUCUCCUACAGUAUUCCUGCUCAGCCUGCUGGUGGCCUACUCCUGUGACCGUCAUCUUCUCCAGAGGGACUACAGUUUCCUGGGGGACAUCAACGUGAGGGGCCCCCUGGUGACAGUGGGGGUGUACUCCUCUACCCUGUCUGCUGCCGUGGGGUCCUGGCUCUGGCAAGAAAGACAGUCACAAAUUUGGAAUCCCUUGGCGUCCGUGCUCAUCUCAUGGGUCCUAGUGCAGGUGGUGUUUUCAGGGAAGCUGAACACCAUCGCCAACAGAGUGACCCUUUUCUUCCUUGUCUAUGCUGCUGUGGAUCUGGCCUGCCUGGCCCUGGAAUGGGCCUCUGCACCCAACAGCACAAUCUGAUUCGCCAGCACGGAGACCCGCCCCCUGCCGUGCGUUUCC
Molecule: long non-coding RNA, 1378 nt
Organism: Oncorhynchus gorbuscha (pink salmon)
Lineage: Eukaryota; Metazoa; Chordata; Actinopteri; Salmoniformes; Salmonidae
Exons: 5
Source: RefSeq, a predicted model, not a curated record